Long non-coding RNA from Exaiptasia diaphana, 394 nucleotides. RefSeq lists it as uncharacterized. Lineage: Eukaryota; Metazoa; Cnidaria; Anthozoa; Actiniaria; Aiptasiidae. The record is from RefSeq and is a predicted model, not a curated record. The transcript has 3 exons.
AGAACAGAAAAUCCCUUGUUAUUUGUUGAAAAAACUCAUUUUGUAUUUCAAGGGUUAGUUUAACACAGACGAUCAGUCGUUUCGUUUCAAGCAAAGUUCGYUUCGCUGUGUGCAGAGUGGCUUUGUUUUGUUCUUACGGUUCGGUUUCAGAUGGCCUUCACGAAACUGUUGUUGCUUGCUUGGUUUACGAUUCUCGUUGACAAAGUUUCCUCCACGCAAGGAASACACGAGAAGAAGCUUCGUGAUCAAGUGUUCAAUCUAUAUGAUAAGACCGUUCGUCCAGUCCUUCACCCCAGUCACAUUAUCAACAUUUCGUUUGGUAUCCAAUUGAGCAAGCUUGUUGAACUGAACACAAAAAAACAACUUCUUGUUACAGACGUCUGGGUUAUACAGG